CCGGGACCCCGGCGGCCGCGCGCGGAAACGAGCGCGGCCCCUCAGGCCGCUCCGCCGCCCCGGCCCCCGCCCCGGUAGCUCUUCCUCUACACGUUCUCCUGCUGCUCCUGUCUGACACCACGCACUUCUUGCCCGCUCCCUCUUCCACCCCACGGCCAGGCAGCGCCGAGCGCUUUCCCGAGGCACCGGGACGGACACUGGGGCGGGAUCUCCCGCCGUCCCCCUCAGCCCCGCUCCCGGCACGGCUGCUGCCCGCCCCCGGGAGCCGGCCAGGACUCCAGCCAAAGCGGUGGAUAUAGGAAUCUGGGAUAACCGGUUCAGUGAGAUGGCUGUAGCAGUGUUGUCGCUGUGGAGACAGGAGCACCAAGGUUUGAACAGAGUUAGUAACCAGAAAUAUUGUGAAGAUAUAUCCAAGUCACCAUGCUACUGAUAUCCUGAGUAGUGAAAGGUGCUGCAGAGGGACAUCCAUGUUCCUCAUGGCUGAAGAGAGGAGGAAGGACGUGGGAAACAGGGAAGUGACUGACCUACAAAUGUAUUGGACGGCUGCUGCUGGUGAGUAAGAAAAAAGCUUGGUCAAAAAGUUCUCCACCACUGUCUUGAUAAACUUCUUCUGACCAUGUGAAAUACUGGCUUUAAUAAAGUACACAACAAGAUUUAAUGGUAUUGGAAU
Molecule: long non-coding RNA, 670 nt
Filed under: Parus major (Great Tit)
Lineage: Eukaryota; Metazoa; Chordata; Aves; Passeriformes; Paridae
Description: lncRNA (ENSPMJG00000019322.1)
Source: RNAcentral